This 497-nucleotide ribosomal RNA is filed under the name uncultured bacterium. RNAcentral's name for it is "partial 16S ribosomal RNA". It matches the Rfam family "Bacterial small subunit ribosomal RNA", at positions 28 to 507 of the family's 1533-position model. The record is from RNAcentral.
GAUGAACGCUGGCGGCGUGCCUAAUACAUGCAAGUCGAGCGAACAGACGAGGAGCUUGCUCCUCUGACGUCAGCGGCGGACGGGUGAGUAACACGUGGAUAACCUACCUAUAAGACUGGGAUAACUUCGGGAAACCGGAGCUAAUACCGGAUAAUAUAUUGAACCGCAUGGUUCAAUAGUGAAAGACGGUUUUGCUGUCACUUAUAGAUGGAUCCGCGCCGCAUUAGCUAGUUGGUAAGGUAACGGCUUACCAAGGCAACGAUGCGUAGCCGACCUGAGAGGGUGAUCGGCCACACUGGAACUGAGACACGGUCCAGACUCCUACGGGAGGCAGCAGUAGGGAAUCUUCCGCAAUGGGCGAAAGCUUGACGGAGCAACGCCGCGUGAGUGACGAAGGUCUUCGGAUCGUAAAACUCUGUUAUUAGGGAAGAACAAAUGUGUAAGUAACUAUGCACGUCUUGACGGUACCUAAUCAGAAAGCCACGGCUAACUACGUG